This 1850-nucleotide ribosomal RNA is filed under the name human gut metagenome. Its description in RNAcentral is "bacterial LSU rRNA". It matches the Rfam family "Bacterial large subunit ribosomal RNA", at positions 813 to 2642 of the family's 2925-position model. The record is from RNAcentral.
GGAUAGGGGUGAAAGGCCAAUCAAACCCGGAGAUAUCUCGUUCUCCCCGAAAUAGCUUUAGGGCUAGCGUCGCGCGUUCACCGCCGGAGGUAGAGCACCGGAUGGACGAGGGGGCUUCGCCGCCUACCGAAUCCAACCGAACUCCGAAUGCCGGCGGCCCAGAGCGCGGCAGUCAGAGCAUGUGGGCUAAGCUGUGUGCUCGAGAGGGAAACAGCCCGGACCGCCCGCUAAGGUCCCCAAGUUCCAGCCGAGUGGCAAAGGAUGUGCGUCCGCCCAGACAACCAGGAUGUUGGCUUAGAAGCAGCCAUCCAUUCAAAGAGUGCGUAACAGCUCACUGGUCGAGUGGACAUGCGCCGACAAUACACGGGGCUAAGCUGGACACCGAAGCGGCGGGAUUUUAAUUCAUUAGAAUCGGUAGGGGAGCUUCCCAUGGGCGGAGAAGCCGGAGGGCGACCGACGGUGGAGCGCAUGGGAGUGAGAAUGCUGGCAUGAGUAGCGAGAGACGAGAGAGUAACUCGUCCGCCGUGAACCCGAGGUUUCCUGGGCAAGGCUAAUCCUCCCAGGGUCAGUCGGGGGCUAAGGCGAGGCCGGUAGGCGUAGCCGACGCGCAGCAGGCAGACAUUCCUGCACCGCGCACGCGGCGCUACGACCGACGGGGCGACGGAUGGGGGUGGCUCGGCGGGGUUCUGGACGUCCCCGUGAUGGAGCGCGGCCCGCGGACCAGGGAAAUCCGGUCCGCAUCAAGGGCGAGGCUCCGGACGAAGCGAUUGAGCGAAGCGAGUGAGCCCGAGGUCCCUAGAAAAACCCCUAGGCAGGCGCGUGCGCGCCCGUACCGCAAACCGACACAGGUGGGUGGGUAGAACAUACCGAGGCGAUCGGGUCAACCAUGGUCAAGGAACUCGGCACAAUGGCCCCGUAACUUCGGGAGAAGGGGUGCCCGCGCGUACGUGAACCGGCUUGCCCGGGGAGCGGAGGCGGGCCGCAGUGGAGAGGCCCAAGCGACUGUUUACCAAAAACACAGGACUCUGCAGAAGCCGCAAGGCGACGUAUAGGGUCUGACGCCUGCCCGGUGCCGGAAGGUCACGCGGAGGAGUUAGCCGAUUCGGCGAAGCCCCGAAGCCAAGCCCCGGUAAACGGCGGCCGUAACUAUAACGGUCCUAAGGUAGCGAAAUUCCUUGUCGGGUAAGUUCCGACCUGCACGAAAGGCGCAACGACUUGGGCGCUGUCUCGACCAUGGACCCGGUGAAAUUGCACUGGUCGUGAAGAUGCGACUUACCCGCGGAAGGACGGAAAGACCCCGUGAACCUUCACUGCAGCUUGGCAUUGGCCGCUGGUCCCGCGUGUAGAGGAUAGGCAGGAGGCAUCGAUCCGGAGGCGCCAGCCCCCGGGGAGCCGCCCUUGGAAUACUGCCCUCGCGCGACCGGCGUCCUAACCCGAGGCCGUCAACCGGCUCGGGGACCGUGCCAGGCGGGCAGUUUGACUGGGGCGGUCGCCUCCUAAAGGGUAACGGAGGCGCGCGAAGGUCCGCUCGGGACGGUCGGCAACCGUCCUUUUGAAUGCAAGAGUACAAGCGGGCUUGACUGCGAGGCCCACAAGCCGAGCAGGUGCGAAAGCAGGCUCUAGUGAUCCGGCGGCCCCGAGUGGGUGGGCCGUCGCUCAACGGAUAAAAGGUACUCCGGGGAUAACAGGCUGAUCUUGCCCAAGAGUCCACAUCGACGGCAAGGUUUGGCACCUCGAUGUCGGCUCAUCGCAUCCUGGGGCUGGAGCAGGUCCCAAGGGUACGGCUGUUCGCCGUUUAAAGCGGUACGCGAGCUGGGUUCAGAACGUCGUGAGACAGUUCGGUCCCUAUC